Long non-coding RNA from Pseudopipra pipra, 14851 nucleotides. RefSeq lists it as uncharacterized. NCBI's taxonomy places the organism in Eukaryota, Metazoa, Chordata, Aves, Passeriformes, Pipridae. The record is from RefSeq and is a predicted model, not a curated record. The transcript is spliced from 9 exons.
GCCCCGCAGCGGGUGAUCGGUACGCGGCGCCAUGGCGGCCCCUGAGCCCCGCUCCCGCCCCGCGCCGUCCGCUUUAUACCCCGCGAUUUGCAUGUCAAUGAGCCCAUUGGCCGCGCCGCGCGGGCCGCGCCGCGCGUGGGCCGAACGGACCAAUGGGCAUCGCGCGCUUUGUCUGCGCCGGGGCGGGGCUGCGCGGCCGCCGGCGCUGCCGGAGCGGGGCGGGCGCGGAGCGGGAAUGCAAUCGGGAUCGGGAUCGGCCUCGCUCUCGAGGCUGACACCGCCCGGAGACUCUCAGUCUGGGCUGUGGGAAGGGGACGUGCCCUCCCUGCAGCUUGCGGCUCCGCGAAGCAGCGUUUCAUGUCAGUCCAACCCUGCAAUGAACCCCCAAACACCCAGCGCCCGUUACGGGUUCAAAGCAUCGGAACACGCGUGAGUGCGGUUCGUCGGGGGCCGUCGGUGCCCCUCGCUGCCGACAGGGACCGACCUGGGCGUGAAAGAGCCAGUCUGAGCUCUGAGCGGGAACCAGCGGGACUGAACAGGCACGGCUGGCCAGGGGCCAGGUCCUCCUUGUCCUGCCCCAUCUUGGUGGAUGGGGAAGCUCCGGGAGCCGGAGUUUGGGUGCCUGCCGGGGAGGACGCGCCCGUUCAGGCUAUGCAGGGCUGUGCUGGACACCAAGGCUGUGCUGGACACCACGGCUGCCCCUCGGGGCAGCCCUUCCCCAGCCCCAGGGGCCGCUCGCCCGCCCUGUGGCCACGGGCAGCCGGGCCCCGAGCGCUCGGUGCCGUCCCCGGGCGCGUCCAGCCCUCCGCCUCCCCUGUCUGGAAGCAGCGGGCAGGCCGAGCUUUGUGCGGGUAACUUGAUGCUGAUGACAGUUGGCAGCUGCAGUUCCCCCGGCAUACUGAGGCAAAUAAAAGCAUUAGGGCUCGUCCCCGAGGAGAGCGACAGGUGUUCGCUCCCGCUCCUUUGUUUCCCUCCUUUUAUUCUCUUCGCUAAUGCAUGUCAUAUUUUUACCCCCCGAGGAAACGGGAGACGCGUCCCCCGCUUGACUCGGCACUGCCGCACGUUCGCCUCCCUCUGUGUGUCCAGCAUAGCUCCGCUCCCGCUCCAGCUUUUCUCCCGGUUUGUUUUGCCAUGGAAAGCCCAGUGGUUUUGGUGGUGCUGAGGUUAUGCUUGCUGAGAGGUCUGAUGUGAGCUGCGGGCGCCCACAGCUGCGUAGAGCCUCGUGACCCCCGGCUCCAUCAUUUGUUACGGAUCCGCACCUGUAGGUCGGUGCCUGGCGCGUCUCGCGUGGUCCAGGGGUAACGGCACGUGCUCUGGGAAGGGCUGGGGUGGCUCUUAGUCAGUCCCACUGCUACUCAAGGCUGCUUUUCAUCUCUUAAGCGCUGUAUAAGCACCCAUUCCUGCACUGUGUUAAUCCAUGUCUGAUAAAAGAGCAGACUGGGAUAGAGAAGUUCAGCUGUGUCUCCUCACAGCCAUCACAGAGGAGCACAGAGAGCUGGCAUGUGGGGUAUCCUGGCUGGAGACUCAAGUUCAGGCCACUCUGCUUUUUGUAUCACAAUGGACAGGAGAUGUUAUUUUCAGAAAGGUAUUUCUGUUGUGUUUCUUCUUUUAUGUUAAAGCAUCAGUACUUGGAUUUUGUCAAAGAGUUUGUCCAGUCGGUGACAAGUUUCCCUGCACCAAGCAGGAGCAGAGUAGGAUGUACGACUAAGUUUGUCCUUCUGCUUUUCAUGUACACAGUUCUCUGCAUAACACAGUGUUGGAAACUGGCUCAUUCUUUUCAUUGAUAUAAUUAAUGCUGGCUAAGCAGAAACGCUGUUUGGAGCAGGCCAGGUACACAACAUUUUUGUAUUUAAGUGAGUAGAGACAUCUGUGACUGCAUUUUGUAUGUGUUUUAUGCAUACUUGGCCUGGCAGGGAAAAACCACAAUUGUAUGGGUGCAAACUACAGUGAAGUAACGGGUGUCACAAUUUUGGAGGAGCCAUCUUCUUUCUGAAGCAAAACUAGGCACAUAAGGUCAGCAGAGGUGUAUAAAACACACUAAUAUACUUACACAUAUUUAUAAAAUACGCAGUAACACACUAUGUAUGUAGUCAUGUGGUAAAAGAUGAACUAAAAGAUUUUGUGAUCUUGUUUUCAGAGAAAGCUUAGCUUUUCCUAGAACUGGGCUGGGGGGAGGUGAGUGAGCAGCUGCCUGGUGCUUGGUUGCUGGCUGGGGUUAAACCACAACACAUAAGUAAUCAGAUGCUCCAACAGUGGGGUUAAUGCUGGUAUAAAUUCUGCUGAUUUACACAAGAGUCACUGCACCACUGUGGCUGCAGGUGCAGUCCCCAAACAUGUCAGGCCUCUUUACUGCAGGUGUUGGUAUCAGCUGUGUUUCAGAGCUAACUUAGGCUGGAGGAUUAACUCCCAAAUUCACCUCAGUUGAAGUUCAGCUGUGUUAGGACUUGGGUGAGGAAAUGCUGGUGGCUGCUGAACAGCAACAAUUUCUCACAAGCCUCUCAGAUCUGUGUGUUUUCGAGCAGUGAGGAGAUGGAGGGGUAGGUUGAGGACUUCUGAAUGCAUGAGAAGAGGAGACUCUACCAGCAGGCUAGCAAAUCUUGGCCAAGGAUGGCUAGAGAGAGUUGGCCGUGGCUAUAACAUCCUAUUUCUGCUCUGACUGGAUGGGUGCUGAUGGCAAGGCAUUGUACUGUUGCUAGCUCUUGUUCUGCAGGAUGUCUUUUUGUAUUGUCUUUGAAAAGCUGCUGAUUAAAUGAGUUGACAAAUGUUGGAGCUGUUUGUGCUGGGCAUUAAAAAUGUAUGUGCCAUAAAUAUCAGGGCAUCACUAGAGCUGCCAUUCUGGAGGAGGGAGUCACUGCAGGCUAUCUCCUCUAGCCCAUGGGAUAAUGUGAUAUUUUUGUGCUACUUUAAACAAGUUCCAUCAUAUCAGGUGAAGUGAAUCAUGGUAACCUCAUGCAUUUUAAUAGAAAUGUCAACUGCAAUCUUGUAAAAGAAAAUGUUCCUUAGAUACUUUGUCCAGUACCUCAGUGCUUGCCCAUGCAUGGUGGUUCCUGAAGGAGAUAUCUUUCACAAACCCCAUCAACUUAUCUGUAUCAUUCUUUCCAGGUUAAACCCAUUCUGCUCUCUGCUAAUGGGGAGGUGUAUGGGCAGUGCUUCCUCCUCUAUGGAGGGUGGGAGUUUAACCUUUGCUAGAAUGGGGAGCUCUGUCCUGUCAGAGACAGGCUCCUACACGUGCUAUAAAUUGCAGUCUGGGCAAGGAACAGCAUAGUUUUAGCAGAGAUAACUGGAUCUGUGCCCUGCUGCAUGUGCUCUCCUGUGAGCCUAUGCAUAGGGAAGAAUAACACAGCAUAUAAUAACAGGCUUUAAUUCUUUGUAGAUGAUGCAGCUGCGGUGGUAAAGGCAGCUGUGGGAGGCAAUCCUGCAGCUUCAGCUAUGUGCCAUGUGUUUUGGAGGGCCAGACUUGGCAGCAGCACUCAUGUUCAUCAGCUGGGGCACAGAAGAAGAGUUUCUGCCAGCCACAACACUAAUGAGUACAUUCAAAAGGGUCUUAUGUCCUUUCACAGAAGAGCCCCCAGACCCCGUUUGCCGCCUGCGAAGGCUUGGAGUCCCUUUGUGUGAGAGAAUGGGCCCUGUUUUCUGCCAUUUCAAAGACUCUGGGCUCAGUGGAGAGGAUUUGGAGAGGCUGAGUUACUGAGCUCCAUCUGGAAGACAAAGCUCCACAACUUACCCUACUUGCAAAAAACACCCCGCUCAAGGAUUUCAGCUAUUGAGGCAGCCAUUAGCAGGAAUGAACUUGGUGCUUUCCCAGUGCCUGCCUCAAGCUGCCUGUCCUCUCUUGGGAUCCACCCUGACCACACAAGCGGUUGUGGAGGUGCGUGGUGUGGAGCAGAAACUCCUGGUGGUGAUGUGGCCCUGGCCAGCUGAGGACAGCCUCUCCCAGCAUAACAAUAAGGUGGCCACAAGUGUCAUGAGGUGCAUUAUUGACACCAUCUAGAAGUAAAAGAACACUUCAGGUUUGAUCCUGGGCAGGGAGCUGCUCCUGUUGUUGGUCCCACUGGUGUUCAGUGGAGCUUCCUCUAGAUUUUGUGGUUUGCUUUGCCUGAUAGUUUUCUCCACCUAUGAGUGUUCUGUGCCCUUUGCUGCAGUGGUUUGCUUGGGGUGGCCCCAGCUCCCAACCCUCUGGAUCUUUGCAGUGGGAUAUUGUGUAUUUUCGACAUUGGUGGUCAUUCUGGAGGUUCCCAUCAGCAAAGGGGGAAGUCCUAAUUUUCAGGCUGAGGACAGAAACUGAGGUUGAGGGUUGUUAUGGGAAAAAUUUGGCUGCAGAACCUGUCUGGGAGGCGCAGCAUCAACCUGGUUGAAAACCGACAGCAACGGCACCUGGAAGGAAUUUUUGGAAGCCUGCUUGUUCUCUGCAGAGUAGAAGCGCUCCUGUGCCAGGUUUGUGCCCCGAUUGCUCCCCUUAGGGCUCAGAGGACCUUUUGGCGUCAAGAGAGGCUGUUGAGAUGGGCUGGAAGACCUCAGUGCUGCUUUGCAGGUAUCUUCACCAGACCUGGGCAAGGAUUUCAGCAGGUGGUUUAGCAGGCGUGCCCCAAGGCUCUUGUCCAUCCACUCACAGGUGAGAAGGAGGUUGUGCACCUCGUGCAUGCACUGAAUGUACCCAGUGCUGUACCUCUGCUGGGCUUCCAGACCCACUUUGGAGUCAGCUGCAUUGGUGAGGAGACAAAGGGGAGUUGGUGAGAGGGUAAGAGCUGACUGGUGUGUUCCUGCUGGGAAACCUUCACCAGGUUUCCUGGGGGGCUCACUCUGAAGCCACUGGACUUUCCUAGAAGAUGCCUCGUUUGCAGGGAGAAGGUGAGCAGGGUGUGAGCCCUGGUGCUCUGCUUCCUACUGCAGAGGCAAAACUACGCCAAAAAGCAGAAAUAGGCUUGGGAAGGAAAAAACACCUUGCCCGAAUUAACCAGUGCCCAGCUCCAUCUCCCCAUCUAGUGGAGAAAGCCGAACACAGGCAGCAGGCCGAGCCUCGGCUGCUUUGGAUGAUGCUUUUGCCAGUCUGGCAGGGGAUCAAACCUGCUGCCACCCUCCUGCCCGGCACGAGCACUCACCCAUCAUCUUGGUGCUCUGGAUGUUCUGGAGGUGCUUCACCGUCAUUUCAAGGAUGUCUGCUUUUUCCAGUUUAGACUGCUGAUAAGGAAAGAGAGCAGCAGUUAGAGGGAAUGAAGGGUUUGCACCAUGCCCAGUUUCUCAAAAAAUGAGAACAACCCCACCCCUCAGAUUUCCCACCAACAAAAGAACAAAAGGCAGCAUAAAAAUGAGCACUUACAUCCAGGUGAAAUGCUCCCACAACUGUCUCCUUCAGCUGGUCUAAGCAGUUAUUAAUCCUUUCCCUUCGCUUCCGCUCAAUGAGGGGUUUCCUUAACUGGCAAAGAAAAGGAGCAGGAAAAUUGCAGUUGGUGUUUUUUUCUUCCCCUCCCUGCUGCAGUUCAGUGAGGUCAGAGAGUGCCAUCCCCUGUGUGAAGCCAGUGUGGGGUGGCACAGGGCUCAGCAGGAACAAGAUGAAGAUGGAUGUGUACCAUCUUCAGCCACGGCCUGUCCCUUAGAUGGCAUCAGCCCUCAAUUCUCCCACCUCCACUCAUUUUAUGCAGGGUUCACCCAAACAAAACAGAGAGAAGCAGAGAAAGGGAGCGGGGAAAAAAACCCACCCGUGUGGGUUAAUUUCAGAGAAAACAUCUUUAUAAUAUGAGGCCAAUAACUGUCCCCCUUUUCUUUCCUGGAAGCAGUGCCCAUAGCCCCAGCACCCAUCAUUCACACGCCUGGUGCAGCACAGAGGGCACGUACCUUCCUCUCCUCCUUGGUGCUGGCGAGCUUGUGGGUGCUGCCCGGGGUGGCUGUGGCAGUCAUUCUAAUCCAGGCACGGGGUGGGAAGGAGGCACUCGGGCAGUGGGUCGCUCCGUUUCCAGUUGGGCUCUUUGCUGCUCCGCCGCUCCCUCUGCUGUAUUUAUAACCCCGAAUUAGCAUGUGAAAGGGAACUGUCCUUGGCGGGACUACUUUUCCCACACGAGGGGUCGAGCCCGGAGGUUUGUGGCCAUCAAUCAAAGCUGACAGGUCACUGCUUCUUUUCAAUGAGCACGCCAGCCCCCCCAAACGGCGACAGAUGUCCGGCCUCCGACGCUGGGCUUUGGAGGGAUCUUUUGUUAGGGAAGAAGGGAAGGAAAAUGGGCGCGCUCUGAGCAGCUUGCACGGCUCCUCGUUCAAUUUGCACAGAUUCCCAGGGAGGGAAACAAUAGCCGGGAAGCGGUUGAGUUACACCUGGGAAAAUGCCUUCUACUCAUCUUUUUCCCCUCUAUUUCCUUGAAGUGAUGCCUGGUUUCACUUACUAACCUGACCCCAGCCAUUUCACAUCUUUGAAACAGCCUCUUAAUUUAAUAAUAGAGUACUUCAGCUAGGAGUUCCCGCUCCCAGGGAUUAUUAUUACAAGGAAACGAUGAUCGAUUAAAAACUGUUGACAGCUGGUUGUUUCCAUCACAGAAAUCCUCUAGGGCAAACAUGGGAACAUUAUUUACCUCUUGGGAACCUGAGUUCUCUGUCGCACAUGGGUGGACGUAGGAAAUAUGUAACUCUUCCAGUUUUUGGCUGCCGUGUAGAAUUUAAUAUUAAACUGACAGGCUAUUGCAGAUGCAAACUAACCCAGAGGUGAGUUAGUCCUGUGGGAUUUUUACUUUGAUUUCCCCCCUGCCAUGCUGAAGGGGGCUUGUCUGUUCGCUCCUCUGGAAUGCUGGUGUGGGAGCAGAGAAGCCUUUGGAGGAGUCUUGGUGUAGAGUGAGAAUGCACUUCUAUACUUCCUCACUUCUGCCUGGUUUGGGGGAGAGUAUGAAGGUGUUUUUCAUGACUGUGCAUUUGCUUUCUGAUGUUUGCUUUGCUAAUGAGCAGGAUUUGGCAGUGUCCUGUUGUGUCCUGCAGGUGAAGCCCUUUGGAUUGGUGUCGAAUGUGUCACCUUACUGAAGUAGGAAGGGGCCACAGUGGCUCAGAGGCACCGUCAGCCCUCCCAACUCAGUGGUGGGAUUUUCCAGCUCCCACUGUAGUGCUGUGGCUGCAGAGCCCACUCCACUCAAGCCAAGGGUGGGAUGUACCCUAGUAAUAAAAGUGAGGACUUCAUGUCCCUUGCUUAACCACAGCGUGGGUGGGUGUGUGUUUGCUUGUGAGUAAAUGCAAACAUGCAGCAUGUCUGCACACCCUGCUGCCUGGGCUCAUCACGAAAACAUGUCCCUGGACAUGGAAUCUGGCAGGCAGAGGCUGUUUGUCAGUCAGAUACAGAGCUGGAGUGCAGCUACCUGGUUUUAUAAGCGCACUAUUUGGCAGAGGCCUGGGUGAGCUGGUGUGGUUGUUGUGCUGGGAGAGGAGGGCUGGGAGGGUGAGGUUAAUAACUUGUCCUUUGUGCCAGGUAAAGGGAGCAGGGAUGGGCCCAUUAUCUCAGGUGUGUCCUCUGCAAAGACAGCGAAAGGAGGUCCCACUGCCCUGUGUUGGAGUCUCUCACAUCAGCCAGCCCCAGCUGAUCAUCAGUGAAGACUCUUUUGGUUUUCCAAGAUUUUUCCAGCCCACUUGGGAAGUGGAUUGUUGCUGGUAUUUAUAGAAGGUGUAGCUGAGGCAUCCAUGACUCCAGCACCUUGGUAUGGAGGAGGCAGUGGGUGGGCUGGAGUACAGGAAGGUUGGGCAGUUUCCUAGGGUGCUCCAGGCUGGAAGCAUGUCACCUGGGAACACAGCUUCUGGCUGGGUUUGGCUCAAAUGGUGGGUAAGGAAGAGAAGUCCACCAUCUGCCCCCAGACACCCCUCCACCAGCACCUUGUGCAGAAAAAGGCACCUUACCAAGGCAGUCAGGGCAGCAGGGGGAAGCCUGAGACCACCUUGGCUCGUGGCCCAACUGAGCAUGGCAGAGGUGUCAGGAAAUGCAGAAUUACCUAAAAAUUCCUAAAAGCGUGUCCUGUGCCUGUUGGCACCCCUCCUUGGGUGGGCAUGGCUAUAGGAUGCUGUGUGUGCCUCCCAUGUUAGUGGUCCCAGAGUCUGGCCAGCCCCCAGUGCCACCAGGAAAGGUGUCUCCAGUCUCUGUAGUGGUGGGACCUUGUUCCUCGCUCUCCCUUCCCUACUUGGCCUUCACUUGCUGCUUCUGCUUCACCUUCCCUCUGCUUCCUUUAUCCUGUGAGCUGCUGCCGAGGUCUGGGGUGAGUGGGAUGCUCCACGAGACCAUGGUGCAAGCUGGUGGCAAGGCUUUGGGUCCAGGGGACAGCCGGGUGGGAGGGGAGGCCACGAGCAGUGUGGUGGCCCCCGGUGCCCAGCCACAGCCUGUACCCAGCCCACUCAGGGUGAGCCCCUUUGCUUGCCCACGGGCAUCUGCUCUGGGUGAGCUCAUUUCAAGGUUCAUUUGUAAGACAGCACCACAGUGAAAAAGAAGAACAGCUUGUGCUGUAAACAGUUAUUUUACACCUCUCAGUCACAGCAAAAGCCUUUAUUUUGGAGGUGGGGAGUGCGGGUGGGAGAGCUGCCCUGGCUUGGGGGAAGGCCGACAUCUGUGCUGGGGAUUGUAGGUACCCAACAGGCCAAUGCAAAUGAGCAUUACAGGGAGCUUACUGCAAAUUCCUGCUUUCCCUUUGCACUGCCACUGCCAGGUUUCACUGAAAAGGGGAUUCUCCUUUGUAAACAAAGCCUCCCUUUUUUUUCCUGGGCUCUCCAAGAAAAAAAAAAAAAAAAAGGAAAGAGAAAGGGGUGAGUGCUGCUUAGAGUUUUCUUUUUUGCUAUUUUUCUACGUUUCACACCCCGGAGAAAGAAAACAACUUUUAACAUCUGUUCCUGCACUUUUUAAGAGGGAAAGAAAGGCUCUUGAAAAGGGGGAAAGUGUGGCAGAUGUUGGCAGGUUCCCUCCAACGCAGAUGUCUUGCUCUGAAGAAAACUUUCUUUGGGGAUUGGCGGCCAGGGCUAAUCUUUGACUCGGGACACGCGACUGCUGAGCGAAUGGAGGGACGUGGGAAAGCGCCGCCGAACAAAGGGGCUUAUUCAAACAAACCUGAGAGCCGUGAACAAUCUAAUAACCAGCAGAGAAAUGGUCAGCGGCCCCGGCCCCAACAGGGAGGGCUUCGGGGCAGCCGGUGGCCACAGGACAAGGGAAUUUGACCGUGUCCCCAGGGCUGCAAGCAGGGGUGUCUCUUCCUUGCCCCCAGUCUGCUCCCUCUGGGGCAUCCAAGGCAGUGCUUUGGCCAAGGACAAUCGUUCUCGAGGUGCUGAAUGGUCUUGGCUGCCCCACGGCGACAGCAGAGGAGAUGGGAGGGCAGGUGGGCUGGGCUGGGCUGCCCCACACACACCAGCCAAGGCAGCAUGAGAGGAGUGACUGUUGGACAGCAGGGAUGUCUUUGGUUAAGCUUUUAAAAAAGAGGUUCUGCCAAGAUAAUAAUUAUAAAAAAACCCCAGUCCUACUGAUUAGGACUGGUUGAAGGAGGCUUGUGAAACUGAUUUUGGUAGGAAAAAAAAAGUGCUUAUUUUAAUUGUAAGCAAAAAUGUUGAGAGAAAAAGGUAUUUUCUGUAAACCUUUCAAUCUCUUUCUUUCUGGCUGAUAAUACAUUUUAAAAUAAGUUUUUGCCAUGAAAGCUGGUAAUAUUUCAGCUUAAGCACUUCAUAGGAAAAAAGGGAGAAGCCCAGAGAGAAGGGAGCAGAGCCAAGAGGAUUCACACAAGAAAGUAACUCCUUCCAGUUUGCUGUUACAGCUGAAGAGCUCUGUAGAUCAUUCCUCUAAUUCCUUCAAGUUUCAUUCUGCCUCAUCUCUGUCCUGGUCCAUUUUCUCUGGGCUCUGGUCAGGGCACAGCCUUUCCUGCCAGCAAGGCUGCCUUGUGCUGGGACAGCUCUGCCUCUUCCCUGCUCAGGGCUGGAGGGGAAAGCCCAGUGAGAUGGAGCUGUGUUGCUCCUUUGGAGGUCAAGCCCUGGGGCAAGCAGCCCAAAACGCUGCUGUGAGUGUCCCCUGUGUUUCUCCUGACAGCAGAGUCCUCCCUGCAUGGCAGCUGGAAAGCAGGAGCCAUCUCAGCUGGACUGAGGAGCCCCAUGCUGCAGGUAGGAUACUGCAUGUCCCCAGAGACACGAGCACCUGUCCAGGCUGGUUCCUCCUGCCUCUCACAGUUUGGGGUGAUGCUGUGGACACCAACUCACAACCUGACAGGACUAAACAGGGGGCCUGUGCAGCACUGGGGCAGACCCAAGUCCAACCUAGGCCCUGGCUGGUUAAUGAAUGGCCUUGUUAACACAGAGGAGCAUUUUGCAGGGAUGGAUUUGCUGUGGGAGAGGGGGAGGAGAGCUGAGCAGGUGCUCCUGAGCACUGCUUAAUCUGCUGCAUGUGUGGGUCAUAGCAGGACCACUUGAUCCUCUCUUCUUUCCAAGCUGGGGAGCAUCCAGGCUGGAUUUGCCUGUAGUUAAGUGACUGCUUGUCCCUCCUCUGAGAUGUCUGCUGGCUGGGUGUGGGGGCAUGGGUGCCUAGCCCUGGGAGUGCUGGUGAGCAGGUGUCACAGGGAUGGACAGGGUGCUCCAGGAGUCCUGCCCCAUCCAGCACUUGCAGCUGUCUGUGGGUUUGCUGGGGCUGGUUUUAUGACAGCAGCUCUGUUUUCAGCACGUGCAGUGACGUGAGGUUUGUGGAGCGAGGAGCAAAGCGUGGGUUUGGGAGCAGGCAGGGUAAGGUGGGGGCAGCUGCUUGCUGCCGGCAUGGGGAGUGGGUUGGCCCUGAUGUGAAACCACAGGGCACCCUGUACACCUUGCAUUCCCUCCCUCGGGUCAAGCUCCAGACCUGCCUUGCUGUGAGCAAACACUCUCUGAGGAGAGGCUGUUUUACAGGGGCUUUAGUCAUUCUGAAUAAAGAGGGUUUUGUCCGGCUCUUUUUCAGAAGGUCAGUUGUGGCUCGAGGUUGAGGUUUAAAACUGAGGGGUAAAGCUCUCCUUCAAAAUGUUUAAAUCUGGAUGCUUCUCAAUAGCUGUAAAUCCCAAGAACCCCGUCCUGAAGCCCUGCGUCACCAGGGGUGUUUUGCUACCAAAAUGUUACAGCAGGAGAGGAAUGUGAGAGCAGCAGGACGUGCCGGCGUGGUGACUGGAUGUGCCGGGUCUGGAGGGUGCAGGCAGUGCCUGGGCGGGCAGGCUGGCUCCCGGCACAGAGGCACCUCAGCCACAGUCUCUUGGGGAUUACUCACUGCUGGAUGGCCCGAGGGCACUGGGGCUACACCUCCAGACUGGCCUCAGUUUGGGACAUUGUACCUGCCGUGUCCCACCUCAGACCCACCUGUAGCAGGGUCUGCAGGGGGACCAUGUGUCCUGCAGCCCGGCCAGGAUGGAUAGAGCUGGAAAAAAGCUGGAGCAAAAAAGCAGGGGAUGAUUUAUUUGUGCUUGGGGCGUGGAGAAGAGCAUUUGCAGUCAUUUCCUGUGUUAAGGAGAAUGGGCUGAGGGCACAGCCUCGAUGAACAGACGCCACCCACAGUGGGACAUGGGGCCAAGGGCACCAUCAGAGCUUGAAGCAAGGGGAGCUAUGGCUGUGCUGGGGAAGGCUGCUCCAAAGACCUGUGUUGGAAUCCUUGGAGCUGGGGUGACACUGUCUGCACCAGGUCGCUGUUUCUGGCAGAGGGCUGGAAAGUGAUGGGGUUUGUGGCUGGGUGAGUGGGGAAGAGGCACAGGGGAUCUGGCAGAUGAGUUUGAUGUCUAUGGUAAGUGGUGGCCUAUCAAGGCAAUAUCCUGUGCAAUUCACCAUGGUGUAGGCAGGGGUAGGAGUGCAGUUGAAGGUUCACCUGCUCCAAAGACAUUUGGUGGAGAGAGAGAGAGAGGUCACAUAUGGCAUUGGACAGUGCUACAUGCAGUAUUUUCAUCAUAGAGAAAAUCCAGCUCCAAAAGUAGCACUGGACAUCCGGAAAUUCUGUUGACAUCUCUCAUCUCCUUUACCGAGUACACCAAAUCUCCCUGGCCCCAGCUCAGCCUCCUGGGUACCAGCUGACUCUACCAUCUUCAGGAGUGAACUCCUGGGAUAGGAAAUAAUUACAAGGCUGGUACCAGCUGAGUAAUUCUCAGCUUUUCUUUCACACACCCCCAUCCAGCCUUCGUGUUAAGGAUUAGCUGACGCUCCUGCCAUUGCUCAAGGUGUCUCUCACCUGGCAGGUUAGCAGCUGGUAAGCUCCACAGCCCCACAGGAAGUCUUAUCUGCUGCUUUGCAGCCAGAAAGCUGCAGCUUGAAAUACAGCUCAUGGCGCAAAAGAGUCCUAUAGGAAGAAGAAAAUCUGAUAAGCUGUGUGGCUGGUGACAGACUGAUAAGGGUUAUCCCCUUGCCUGUGCCAAAGUGGUGGUAGGAGGAAGAAGAGCCAAACUUCACAAAGAUGGCACAGGGGGCUUUCAGGGAGUGUUCAGGGGGAUACUUGAACUUUCCUUAUGUGGCAUCCCAGGAGUUUCUUCAUUCAGGAGGGCAGCCCUGGGCAUUCUCACACUCUGUGUGUGUGAGAUGUUACCAGAUGUCACCUGAGAAUGAGCCUGAUCUAUAAUGUAGCAAAUUCUUGGUUUAUUCAGCAAGAUUUGCUUUCACAACAAGAUGGGUGCCUAACUCCCCAAACAUCAGGACCUGGGGCUCAGCAUCCUGCACCCCACCCCCUACACAUCCCGUUCUGCAACCCCUGCACAUCCCACACAGCCUGUUUCUUCUUAGCUUCUCAGUUCUCGAGGCCACAGAAUUAUCUAAGUUUCACCUUUGUGAGAAAAAUAUCUCUUCUGUGGAUAAAUGCAGCUUUUGUCCUGGCUCAGCCACGCACCAACACUUCCUUUUUAUAGUAUGUGUGUAUACGUGUGCUGACACCACAUCCUGACCCCCUGACACAAAAUACCUUGUCAGCAUGAAUGAGGCAGCAAAGCCAGUCAUCAUCCAUGCUCUGCAGGGAGGGUGAUCUGCAGCCCUCCUGCCCGUGUGCUGUUCUGGGACUUGCCUGGGUGAGUGCCUGGGCUGCUGCUGCAGGGGCAGCAGGACAGCCCGUGGGGGCACCAGGCUUACCAGAAGCAUUUCCUACCAGCUGCCUGUUUCUGGUGCUGCAGGGCUGGGAUUGCAGCACCUGAGGAAGUGGGGAAACACACACUUGGGUGGUUUUUUGCACUUGCUGGUUCAGUCUCAGCACAGCCCAGCUGCUGCCGUGACAGUGGAAGACAUGAGGGUUUAGGAGGGGAGAGCAUGAACCUCAGAGUCUCUGGUUCUUUGAGCCAAGACCAUCCUGGGUUGUUUGUAAAAUUUCAUGUUGUUCUCUAAGCUGGUUUUUUUGCAUCUGUAUUUUUGUAACUAAUUUCUUACCAAUUAAAGCAAAAAGUUUUAUACUGCUUUUUUGUUUACAAAUACUGUCUGGUUUAAACUGUCUCUCCUCUUUAAUUUCUUUACUUUUUUCCCCUCUUCAAAUGUAUCUAGGAGACUGCCUUUUAUUACAGGGAUGAGCAUUUCUUAUUCUUCUGGAGGAACCAAAAGGUGUAGGAAGUCCAGGGACAUAAUCACUUGUGGGUAGUAAAACCAGGGCCCUGACAGGAUGAAGAACAGCCAGGACCUGUGAGAAGGUGGGUGACACUCCAUAGGCCGGGAUCUGGGAAGGGGAAAAGCAGUUUUGGCUUCUCCAUAAUGAGGCACAUAAAAAUACUAACAAAUCACAACCCUUUUUUUCUUUCUUGUCUAUUUUUGGGUUUGCUGUGUCAAAAAAAACAAGAGGCCAUGGCACACAUGAGCUCCCUAAUUUUCCAGAAUAAUACCUGUGACCAGCUGGGUGUCUUGUUGUGUUUCCAAGGUGAUGUUUCUUCCCAUCUCCCCAUUCCAGGUACAUAUGUGUGCACACGUGCAGACAGUGAUACAACUUCACACUUGCACACGGACAAUUUUCACAAGAUACAAUUUUGCCAUGGAAUGUAAAUAAACUCACUUUUGAAGGUGUGUCCUGCUGAGCUGGGGGGAAAGGAGCUCAGCCCUUCCUCAAAGCAGUGCCUGAUUGAAGGUGGGGACAGGCAGAGAGCUCUGGAGUGCCCUCCUCCUCAGGAGCCGGGGAUCUCAUCAGGACAAGGAGAGGCCCCGAAAAGCUUUGGAGGAUGGCCAUGUAGGUGACAGAGGAGCACCUCUAUCCCAUCCCAUGGUAAGGGGGGACCUUCUGCCACAGCAGGAUAUUGGGGAGAGGAGGAAACACCCUUCAAAGGGAAAGGGCACGUGUGGCCUGCUGAAUUACAACUCUGGAAAAGAGGAAAGAUAAACCAGGCGAUGAAUUACUGGGCCUCAUGGAGAGCCAAGGGCAGCCAGCCCUGGAGAGUCAGCUGCUGCCACAGCAUUCCAUGUGGGCACAGCCACUCUGCAGGAGGUACAGUCCAAAGGAAGAAAAGAGGGAUGGCUGCAAGUGUGAUCAGAAGCAUUUUUCCAUGCCUGAGCUGUAGCACACAGCUGACUAAGGUGGCUGGUCCAAGAAGACCCCCAAGAGGUCAAGAGGCAGCUUUGCCCAUUGACACCACUUGCCCUCAGUACAGCAGAGAACCACAACACGUGGAUUUCAGAGCAGCAACAUGCUGCCUGCAGGAAAACAUUACUGCGUGGAGGAGCCUGACCCAAACCCUCCCCAGCAACAUGACAAGGAAGUGCAGGAAGGGGAUGUGGAGACACGUAAUCAAAAAAAAAGCUGAAGACAGAAGCUGUCGGCUCACAAGGAGCUUACAGAUGUUUUGGGAAAGCAGGUCAGCAGGUCUCACACUGAUGCACGGCAGUACUGAGGCAGACCCACUGGGACAAGGUUUUGCCUCGUGGCUUGUAAGACAUUCAUGACAUACAUUCCAUUAAAAAUGUAUUUUUCUUCUUUAAA